Molecule: non-coding RNA, 123 nt
Organism: Gossypium hirsutum (cotton)
Lineage: Eukaryota; Viridiplantae; Streptophyta; Magnoliopsida; Malvales; Malvaceae
Source: Rfam
AAUAGGAGGAUGAUAAAUCAAAUUUUUUCUCUUGAUUUUCAGCUUUUUCCUCCUGAGAAAAUUUAAAUCCAACUAAAUAUACUAAAAAUUAGGAGGAAAACUCUGAUUUAUCAUUUUCCUAUU